CGCGGGAUGGAGCAGUCUGGUAGCUCGUCGGGCUCAUAACCCGAAGGUCGGAGGUUCGAAUCCUUCCCCCGCUA
Molecule: transfer RNA, 74 nt
Filed under: Alteromonas sp.
Lineage: Bacteria; Pseudomonadati; Pseudomonadota; Gammaproteobacteria; Alteromonadales; Alteromonadaceae
Description: tRNA-Met
Rfam family: tRNA
About the family: Transfer RNA (tRNA) molecules are approximately 80 nucleotides in length. Their secondary structure includes four short double-helical elements and three loops (D, anti-codon, and T loops). Further hydrogen bonds mediate the characteristic L-shaped molecular structure. tRNAs have two regions of fundamental functional importance: the anti-codon, which is responsible for specific mRNA codon recognition, and the 3' end, to which the tRNAs corresponding amino acid is attached (by aminoacyl-tRNA synthetases). tRNAs cope with the degeneracy of the genetic code in two manners: having more than one tRNA (with a specific anti-codon) for a particular amino acid; and 'wobble' base-pairing, i.e. permitting non-standard base-pairing at the 3rd anti-codon position.
Source: RNAcentral